GCCGCGGCCCUCCCGCCCCGGCGGCGCCGCGCGGUGGAUUGUGGGCUGGGGGCUGCGGCGGCCUCUGGCGCGGUCUCCCCCGACCGAGCCGGGCCGAGCGGGUCGGCGGGGAGCGGGGCAGCCGAGAGCCGGGAGCAGCCGCGCUGAGGGUGGUGGUCGCGGCGCGGCGGCGGCUCCCCUGGAGGCCGGGGAUGUGGGAGAGGCGGUGGCAGCAGCGGCGGAGGCGGCGCUGCGGACCCGGGGGAAACUGCUGGCUGACAGGACACCCGGGAGAGACGUGAGGGAGCCGCCGCGGCCGCCUCUCACCCCCGAGCGGAGUUGGGCUGCGGAGGGCGGCCCUGGGCUCCCCUGGCGGACGGGCCAGCCGGCGCGGGGCGGCGGCGGGAAGCCGGGCUCGGGCCCGGCGGGGCUCCGAGCGGCGGCGGCCGCGGAGCAGCAGUCUCGGCGCGACGAGGGCCGGCGGCGGCGGCGAUGCACUAGGCCGCGCUCGGGGCGGCUGCCCGGGACCGCAGUUGAGUGGUGAUUUUAUGCAAUGGCUUCAAGCCACAGUUCACCAGUGCCUCAAGGAAGCAGCAGUGAUGUUUUCGUUAAAAAAGAGGUAGAUCCAACAAAACACAUUCGACCUGUGCAGUCACUGCCAGAUGUGUGUCCCAAGGAACCCACAGGUGAUUCACACAGUUUAUGUGUUGCCCCAUCUCUAGUUACAGAUCAACACAAAUGGACUAUAUAUCAUUCCAAAGUAAAUCUCCCAGCAGCAUUAAAUGAUCCUAGAUUAGCAAAAAGAGAAUCUGACUUCUUCACAAAAACAUGGGGAUUGGACUUUGUGGACACUGAAGUCAUACCUUCAUUCUACCUCCCACAGAUCAGCAAGGAACAUUUUACAGUAUAUCAACAGGAAAUCUCCCAGAGAGAGAAGAUUCAUGCAAGAUGCAAGAAUAUUUGUCCUCCUAAAGAUACCUUUGACAGGACUCUCUUACAUACUCAUGAUAAAUCCAGGACAGAUCUGGAGCAAGUACCUAAGAUUUUUAUGAAACCAGAUUUUGCCUUGGACGAUUCUUUAACUUUUAAUUCAGUUUUACCAUGGUCUCAUUUUAAUACUGCUGGUGGAAAAGGAAAUCGUGAUGCAGCUUCCUCAAAGUUGCUACAAGAAAAGCUGAGCCAUUACCUGGAUAUUGUGGAAGUAAACAUUGCUCACCAGAUCUCUCUACGUUCAGAAGCAUUUUUUCAUGCAAUGACCUCUCAACACGAAUUGCAGGACUACCUCAAGAAAACUUCCCAGGCUGUAAAAAUGCUUCGAGAUAAAAUUGCACAGAUUGAUAAAGUAAUGUGUGAAGGAUCACUACACAUUUUAAGACUGGCACUUAGCAGAAAUAAUUGUGUUAAAGUGUACAAUAAACUGAAGUUAAUGGCCACUGUACACCAGACUCAACCUACAGUACAGGUGUUGUUAUCUGCUUCUGAAUUUGUUGGAGCAUUGGACUUAAUAGCAACAACACAAGAGGUUUUACAGCAGGAACUUCAGGGCAUUCACAGCUUCCGGCAUUUGGGAUCACAGCUUUGUGAAUUAGAAAAACUGAUAGAUAAAAUGAUGAUUGCAGAAUUUUCUACUUAUUGUCACAGUGACUUAAAUAGACCACUGGAAGAUGACUGUCAAAUUUUAGAAGAGGAAAGACUAGUAUCUCUUGUAUUUGGACUUUUAAAACAAAGAAAACUUAAUUUUUUAGAAAUCUAUAGUGAAGAAAUGAUUAUUACGGCAAAGAAUAUCAUUAAACAGUGUGUGAUUAAUAAAGUUUCACAAAUAGAAGAACUAGACACAGAUGCUGUUACGAAGCUCGCAGAUCAGAUGAGAAUGUUGAAUUUUCCUCAGUGGUUUGAUCUGCUAAAGGAUAUUUUCUUUAAGUUUACAGUUUUCCUACAGAGAGUUAAGGCAACGUUAAAUAUCAUUCACAAUGUUGUUCUCUCAGUUCUUGACAAAAACCAAAGAACUAGAGAAAUGGAGGAUAUUUUGCAACAGAAGAAUGCUGCAAAGGAUAAUUCACUGGACACAGAGGUGGCAUAUUUAAUCCACGAAGACAUAUUUAUAAGUGAUGCAUUCAGUGAGAGUGAAUUAACACCUAUAACAAGUGACACUACCUCUCAAAGAAAUGCAUCUCCAAAUAGUGAGCCCUGCAGCAGUGAUUCAGUAUCUGAACCAGAAUGUACUACUGAUUCUUCAUCCAGCAAAGAGCAGACAUCAUCAUCAGCUAUUCCAGGAGGUGUGGACAUUAUGGUGAAUGAAGACAUGAAAUUAACUGACUUAGAACUAGGAAAGCUGGCUAAUAAUAUCCAGGAGUUACUGUAUAGUGCCUCAGACAUAUGCCAUGAUCGAGCUGUCAAAUUUCUCAUGUCAAGAGCAAAGGAUGGUUUUCUUGAGAAGCUGAAUUCCACGGAAUUCAUAACACUUUCUAGGUUAAUGGAAACAUUCAUUUUAGACACUGAACAGAUCUGUGGAAGAAAAAGCAUGUCAUUACUUGGAACACUUCAGAGCCAAGCUAAUAAAUUUGUAAAUAGGUUUCAUGAAGAGAGAAAAACCAAGCUCAGCCUCCUUUUAGACAAUGAGCGCUGGAAACAAGCUGAUGUUCCUGCAGAAUUUCAGGAUCUUGUUGAUUCUCUAUCAGAUGGAAAGAUUGCUUUACCUGAAAAAAAGUCAGGGGCUAAAGAAGAAAGGAAACCAGCUGAAGUUCUCAUUGUUGAGGGACAACAGUAUGCUGUUGUUGGAACUGUAUUGUUGUUGAUAAGAAUUAUCCUUGAAUAUUGCCAGUGUGUGGAUAAUAUCCCAUCUGUUACUACUGACAUGCUUACUCGUCUGUCAGAUUUAUUGAAGUACUUCAAUUCAAGAAGUUGUCAGUUAGUUCUGGGAGCUGGUGCACUGCAAGUUGUUGGACUAAAAACAAUAACUACAAAAAAUUUGGCCCUCUCUUCACGCUGUUUGCAGUUAAUUGUGCACUACAUUCCUGUGAUCCGGGCUCAUUUUGAAGCCCGGCUGCAGCCUAAGCAAUAUAGCAUGCUUAGGCAUUUUGAUCAUAUCACUAAGGAUUACCAUGACCACAUAGCUGAAAUAUCAGCUAAGCUUGUAGCGAUAAUGGAUAGCUUAUUUGACAAGCUGUUAUCUAAGUAUGAGGUGAAAGCUCCUGUUCCUUCUCCCUGUUUCAGGAAUAUUUGUAAGCAAAUGACAAAAAUGCAUGAAGCUAUAAUUGACCUCCUUCCAGAAGAGCAAACACAAAUGCUAUUUUUAAGAAUUAAUGCAAGUUACAAACUCCACUUGAAAAAGCAGUUGUCUCAUUUAAAUGUGAUAAAUGAUGGAGGACCUCAAAAUGGGUUGGUCACAGCAGAUGUAGCUUUUUACACUGGAAAUCUUCAAGCCUUAAAAGGCCUUAAAGAUUUGGACCUAAAUAUGGCUGAGAUCUGGGAACAGAAGAGGUGAUGACAUACUGGAAAACUGGGUAGCCUGACCAUAGGAUGUAUGUGUUUAAGAAAAUAUGGAUGCCUGUGAUUCAAGAACUGAACCUGGAACCCAAGUGAACUGGGAUCUUUCUAUAAAAAAAUAAACAUCUUUUGAUUGCUUGGAUUUAGGAAUUCAGUCUUUUUUCAGUGACCAGUGUCAAGGUUUAGGCUUUGUGUGCUGCAUAUUGAAUCCUUCUACAACCACUGGGUGAAGCCUCCAGAACAGUCUAAAUACUUGAAAGGAUGAUCACAAGUAAUAAAGAAUAAGGUAUUAGUGUUCAUUUAUGAGCUAAUUUAAAUACUUUUCAGAAGUGAUAUAUGAAAGCCUGCAGUUUAAUAGUUGUAUUUUUAUAAAAAAUAUGAAGGGUUUUUUUGCCUUUUUUAUUUCUAGCAGAGGUAAGAAUACAUUUUUAUAUAUUCUGCCUACUUAUGAGUUUUCAUUUUAACAUGUAACAUAUGCGGUGUGGCUCCCUUGGGUUCUUGUUUUUAAGUUACUUUCGAUGUGUAUAUGAACAAAGACCAGGGAGAAACAGAAAAUAUAAGCUGCUGUGUUGGGGCCAGAAAUACAAGGUGAUGAGUAAGUUAUUUAAAGACUUUUUUUUUUUAAUCCUCACCUGAGGAUGUUCAUUGAUUUUAAAGAGAGAAAGGGAAAGAAAAAGUAUGUGUGUGUGUGGAGUGGGGAGGGAGACAUAAAUUGGUUGCUUUUCAUUCACGCCCCAACCGGGUACUGAACCUGCAAUCUAGAUAUGUGCCCUGUCCGGGAAUUGGACCCACAACCUUUCGGUGUAUGGGAUGAUGCUCCAACCAACUGAGCCACACCGGCCAGGGUAAACCUUAUAAGUUACCUUCAAAAUAGAAUCAGCAGCAUGCUACAAAUGAAAGUGCCUGUGUCUCACCUCACACCAGGAAUCUUGCCUAACCCUAUCAGAGUGCCUAACUUUGUAGUGAUUAUGUACAAUGAAAUAGCCUUAUUUUGUGCUCUUUGAUCUCCUAAAAGGAAAGCCUGUUUUCUUUCCUUUAUCAUUACAGAGGUAUGUCAUUGGUUCUUAACUGUCUGUCUAAAAUAAAGCUGUAAACAAUUA
RNA transcript from Myotis myotis, 4565 nucleotides. It is a transcript of the gene named VPS54 subunit of GARP complex, with no coding region annotated. NCBI's taxonomy places the organism in Eukaryota, Metazoa, Chordata, Mammalia, Chiroptera, Vespertilionidae. The transcript is spliced from 24 exons. The record is from RefSeq and is a predicted model, not a curated record.